RNAcentral lists this small RNA (90 nucleotides) under Klebsiella pneumoniae. Its description in RNAcentral is "partial RtT sRNA". It matches the Rfam family "RtT RNA", at positions 1 to 89 of the family's 130-position model. Rfam says of the family: This family represents a bacterial cis-regulatory element known as RtT RNA. The exact function of RtT is unknown although it is thought that it may be involved in changing the cellular response in relation to amino acid starvation. RNAcentral also lists the same sequence under 1 other name. Lineage: Bacteria; Pseudomonadati; Pseudomonadota; Gammaproteobacteria; Enterobacterales; Enterobacteriaceae. The record is from RNAcentral.
UAUUCUGCCCUACAGGGAAGGAUGAGAAGCUUCGACUAAGGUUCGACUCGAGCGAAGCGAGAGAACGUUGCCGCAGGCAACGGCCCGAAG